Non-coding RNA from Caenorhabditis elegans, 21 nucleotides. The record is from Ensembl. Lineage: Eukaryota; Metazoa; Nematoda; Chromadorea; Rhabditida; Rhabditidae.
UUUCGGAGAUUCAAACACGAG